This 497-nucleotide ribosomal RNA is filed under the name uncultured bacterium. RNAcentral describes it as "partial 16S ribosomal RNA". It matches the Rfam family "Bacterial small subunit ribosomal RNA", at positions 28 to 507 of the family's 1533-position model. The record is from RNAcentral.
GAUGAACGCUGGCGGCGUGCCUAAUACAUGCAAGUCGAGCGAACGGACGUGGAGCUUGCUUCUCGGAUGUUAGCGGCGGACGGGUGAGUAACACGUGGAUAACCAAACUAUAAGAAUGGGAUAUCGACGUGGGAACGGCGCCAGGAACGGGGGAUAAUUAGAACAUCACGGUUACAGAGUGCAAGACCGUCUUGCUGACGCAAUUCGAUCGAUCCGCGAUGCAUGAGCUAGUUGGUAAUGUAAGGGCUUACCAAGGCAACAGUGCAUAGCCGCCACGAGGGGGUCGUCCGGCACACUGGAAGUGAGACACGGCCCAGACUCCGGCGGGGGGCAGCAGUAGGGAAUCUUCCGGAAUGGGCCAGAGCCUGACGGUGCAACGCCGCGUGAGUGAUGAAGGUCCUCGGAUGGGAAAGCUCUGAUAUUAGGGAAGAACAUAUGUGUAAGUAACUGGGCACAUCUUGACGGUACCUAAUCAGAAAGCCCCGGCUAACUACGUG